ACGCCGCAUGUCGAUCACUUCUGUCUACGCCUCGCGAUUUUAUUGGUACCGCUGCUCACAGCGGAUGCGGGUCUAUGCGUAACUGAAGUCGACGCGACGA
Molecule: small RNA, 100 nt
Filed under: Rhizobium phaseoli
Lineage: Bacteria; Pseudomonadati; Pseudomonadota; Alphaproteobacteria; Hyphomicrobiales; Rhizobiaceae
Also listed under: 1 other name
Description: miscellaneous other RNA
Source: RNAcentral